UCCUACAGUGAUGUCAUUAUACAGGUCUGUCUUCAGAAUAAUUCUAAACUUUGCCUACUGUUGAAGGAGAUGCUGGUUAUUGUGAUGGGCCACCAACAUGAGGCCAGUGCCACGGCACCUUUUUGGGAAAUGAUGCAAUUUGGGUGCUUGCAACCAGUUCUCUGGAGGUGUUAAGAGUAAAGGCUGAGUCCGUUGUAGCUGAACAAAAGGGAUAUGAAAGAGACUGUGGAAGAAAUUGUGGCACUGAGAACGGAAGACUUAGUGGAGUUGUAGAGGUGUGUCAGAUGGGAUUCGUCUUCAUGACUGUGAGCUGCCCUUUUGUGCAGCUUCCUAUUGCUUAGAUCACUUCAGCUCCCAGCAAACUGAAGAAUACUCACUUUGUUCAAGCCCAUGAGUUGCAACUGACUUAAUUGCUUAGAAAAAUAUCUUUGCAGGGCAAAACAAAAGCAGACAAAAUGCUCCAAGAGUGCAGAAGAGUAGACUAAAAGUGAACUGGCA
Empidonax traillii (willow flycatcher) is the source of this 498-nucleotide long non-coding RNA. RefSeq lists it as uncharacterized. NCBI's taxonomy places the organism in Eukaryota, Metazoa, Chordata, Aves, Passeriformes, Tyrannidae. The transcript is spliced from 3 exons. The record is from RefSeq and is a predicted model, not a curated record.